This 692-nucleotide ribosomal RNA is filed under the name Klebsiella pneumoniae. RNAcentral describes it as "bacterial SSU rRNA". It matches the Rfam family "Bacterial small subunit ribosomal RNA", at positions 760 to 1452 of the family's 1533-position model. The record is from RNAcentral. Lineage: Bacteria; Pseudomonadati; Pseudomonadota; Gammaproteobacteria; Enterobacterales; Enterobacteriaceae.
CGUGGGGACCAAACAGGAUUUAUACCCCUGGUAGUCCACGCCGUAUACGAUGUAGAUUUGGACGUUGUCGCCUUGAGGCGUGUGCUUCCGCAGCUAACGCGUUAAAUCGCCCGCCUGGGGAGUACGGCCGCAAGGUUAAAACUCAAAUGAAUUGACGGGGGCCCGCACAAGCGGUGGAGCAUGUGGUUUAAUUCGAUGCAACGCGAAGAACCUUACCUGGUCUUGACAUCCACAGAACUUUCCAGAGAUGGAUUGGUGCCUUCGGGAACUGUGAGACAGGUGCUGCAUGGCUGUCGUCAGCUCGUGUUGUGAAAUGUUGGGUUAAGUCCCGCAACGAGCGCAACCCUUAUCCUUUGUUGCCAGCGGUUAGGCCGGGAACUCAAAGGAGACUGCCAGUGAUAAACUGGAGGAAGGUGGGGAUGACGUCAAGUCAUCAUGGCCCUUACGACCAGGGCUACACACGUGCUACAAUGGCAUAUACAAAGAGAAGCGACCUCGCGAGAGCAAGCGGACCUCAUAAAGUAUGUCGUAGUCCGGAUUGGAGUCUGCAACUCGACUCCAUGAAGUCGGAAUCGCUAGUAAUCGUAGAUCAGAAUGCUACGGUGAAUACGUUCCCGGGCCUUGUACACACCGCCCGUCACACCAUGGGAGUGGGUUGCAAAAGAAGUAGGUAGCUUAACCUCGGGAGGGCU